CUCAAAUUCAGGAAGAACGUGAGAUGAAUCGAGAUUUUCAAGUUCAAGUUGAAGAACAGAUCUGCGCAUGUGCGAGAUCCGAGAUGGCUGCUAGACGUUCUUCUCCGUGCUGAUUUAAACGGAAAAACGCUGGAAACCCCAAGAAAACCGAGCCAAUUUUUCUAUGAAGAGCUUAGGGAUGUCCGAAGUCUGGGGGAUCCGAAGGGGCCAGACCUCUGCGGGGGCUGCCAUUCUCGGGCGCCCCCGGCUCGCUCAAACAUCAUCGGAGGUCUGUGUGUUGCCUGACGGUAGAGGAAGCGAAGCCACGCUGGGAACGGCAAUAGCGGAUUUCGGCGUCUUUGGCGUUUUUCGCUGGCAGCGACUUCCCUCGGCGCUAUUUAAAGGUUCUGGUGCCCUCGUCUUGCUAGCUGCACUCCCUGGGGGCUUUUUCUGGUUACCAUCUCCCCGGAAUGCAAGCGGACAGACGGAGGAAUUACUGGAACUGGUGAUAGCGCUCUGUGGGGGCUCUGCUCAGCCGCCAUUAUUUUGGAGAGAGAGCAGACGGAUAAGAACACUGCUGAGGCUGCCCAGGAUGUAGGAGCGGGGCAGGAGGCUCUCCCCGAGGUUGGUGCCUCCACUGAGGUAGCUGCGCAUGAUGGUGAAGCUGGAGGAGGAGGAGCCGGUGGACAUGGUGCUGGUGCCCACAUUCGUGCCCCCGGAUGACUUCUCUGCUGGCUGCCCACAUGUGUCACACAACACUGUGCGAGAACGCAGGUUGUACUCGCCCGGAUCUCCGCUGGCACUGCAGUGGCUCUGGAGAAGGGAGGAAGAGGGGAAGAAGCAGAGCUUGGCGCCACCCGGACCGAGACCCCACCUGGGGCUGGAGAUGCUGGAUUCGGAUCUGGGGGCUCCUUGGUGCUCUGUGAACCUGGAUGUUUCAUUACCAAACUAGGUAACUUCAUCAGCGCAGAAAAGCCCCAAGGCCAGAAAGCCCCAAGGCCCCCACAGUUCAACCCUGAACUAAAAUUAUUCUCUUCUACCAGAUUCCUACUUGGCCCUUUUGACCCCCCCGGCUUCCUCCGGAGCCCGCGAUGACUUUUUAAAACACAGCCCAGUGUAGAAUCCAUGUUACAUUUAACUAUUCCAGAAAUAAAAGAUUACACUGGAAUUGAGGCUAAACGCAUUUCUCUCUUUACUUGUUAGAUUUACAAGCCUGUUAAAUGGGAGCAGGUUAACCAGCUGAAGGCUAAAUUUGCAAGGUGGUCU
This is a long non-coding RNA of Thamnophis elegans (Western terrestrial garter snake), 1245 nucleotides long. RefSeq lists it as uncharacterized. The record is from RefSeq and is a predicted model, not a curated record. The transcript is spliced from 2 exons. Lineage: Eukaryota; Metazoa; Chordata; Lepidosauria; Squamata; Natricidae.